CCUGUACUUGGUGUUACUGCGAAGGGGGGACGGAGAAGGCUAUGUUGGCCGGGCGACGGUUGUCCCGGUUUAAGCGUGUAGGCUGGUUUUCCAGGCAAAUCCGGAAAAUCAAGGCUGAGGCGUGAUGACGAGGUACUACGGUGCUGAAGCAACAAAUGCCCUGCUUCCAGGAAAAGCCUCUAAGCAUCAGGUAACAUCAAAUCGUACCCCAAACCGACACAGGUGGUCAGGUAGAGAAUACCAAGGCGCUUGAGAGAACUCGGGUGAAGGAACUAGGCAAAAUGGUGCCGUAACUUCGGGAGAAGGCACGCUGAUAUGUAGGUGAAGUCCCUCGCGGAUGGAGCUGAAAUCAGUCGAAGAUACCAGCUGGCUGCAACUGUUUAUUAAAAACACAGCACUGUGCAAACACGAAAGUGGACGUAUACGGUGUGACGCCUGCCCGGUGCCGGAAGGUUAAUUGAUGGGGUCAGCGCAAGCGAAGCUCUUGAUCGAAGCCCCGGUAAACGGCGGCCGUAACUAUAACGGUCCUAAGGUAGCGAAAUUCCUUGUCGGGUAAGUUCCGACCUGCACGAAUGGCGUAAUGAUGGCCAGGCUGUCUCCACCCGAGACUCAGUGAAAUUGAACUCGCUGUGAAGAUGCAGUGUACCCGCGGCAAGACGGAAAGACCCCGUGAACCUUUACUAUAGCUUGACACUGAACAUUGAGCCUUGAUGUGUAGGAUAGGUGGGAGGCUUUGAAGUGUGGACGCCAGUCUGCAUGGAGCCGACCUUGAAAUACCACCCUUUAAUGUUUGAUGUUCUAACGUUGACCCGUAAUCCGGGUUGCGGACAGUGUCUGGUGGGUAGUUUGACUGGGGCGGUCUCCUCCUAAAGAGUAACGGAGGAGCACGAAGGUUGGCUAAUCCUGGUCGGACAUCAGGAGGUUAGUGCAAUGGCAUAAGCCAGCUUGACUGCGAGCGUGACGGCGCGAGCAGGUGCGAAAGCAGGUCAUAGUGAUCCGGUGGUUCUGAAUGGAAGGGCCAUCGCUCAACGGAUAAAAGGUACUCCGGGGAUAACAGGCUGAUACCGCCCAAGAGUUCAUAUCGACGGCGGUGUUUGGCACCUCGAUGUCGGCUCAUCACAUCCUGGGGCUGAAGUAGGUCCCAAGGGUAUGGCUGUUCGCCAUUUAAAGUGGUACGCGAGCUGGGUUUAGAACGUCGUGAGACAGUUCGGUCCCUAUCUGCCGUGGGCGCUGGAGAACUGAGGGGGGCUGCUCCUAGUACGAGAGGACCGGAGUGGACGCAUCACUGGUGUUCGGGUUGUCAUGCCAAUGGCACUGCCCGGUAGCUAAAUGCGGAAGAGAUAAGUGCUGAAAGCAUCUAAGCACGAAACUUGCCCCGAGAUGAGUUCUCCCUGACUCCUUGAGAGUCCUGAAGGAACGUUGAAGACGACGACGUUGAUAGGCCGGGUGUGUAAGCGCAGCGAUGCGUUGAGCUAACCGGUACUAAUGAACCGUGAGGCUUAACCUUACAACGCCGAAGGUGUUU
Molecule: ribosomal RNA, 1525 nt
Filed under: Escherichia coli
Lineage: Bacteria; Pseudomonadati; Pseudomonadota; Gammaproteobacteria; Enterobacterales; Enterobacteriaceae
Description: partial 23S ribosomal RNA
Rfam family: Bacterial large subunit ribosomal RNA
Source: RNAcentral